GACGAACGCUGGCGGCGUGCCUAAUACAUGCAAGUAGAACGCACAGUUUAUACCGUAGCUUGCUACACCAUAGACUGUGAGUUGCGAACGGGUGAGUAACGCGUAGGUAACCUGCCUGGUAGCGGGGGAUAACUAUUGGAGACGAUAGCUAAUACCGCAUAAUAUUAAUUAUUGCAUGAUAAUUAAUUGAAAGGUGCAAUUGCACCACUACCAGAUGGACCUGCGUUGUAUUAGCUAGUAGGUGAGGUAACGGCACACCUAGGCGACGAUACAUAGCCGACCUGAGAGGGUGGUCGACCACCCUGGGACUGAGACCCGGCCCCGACUCCUUCGGGAGGCAGCAGUAGGGAAUCUUCGGCAAUAGACGAAAGUCUGACCGAGCAACGCCGGGUGAGUGAAGAAGGUUUUCGGAUCGUUAAGCUCUGUUGUAAGGGGAGAAAGGGUGUGAGGGUGGAAAGUUCACACUGUGACGGUAUCUUACCAGAAAGCGACGGCUAACUACGUG
Molecule: ribosomal RNA, 505 nt
Filed under: uncultured bacterium
Lineage: Bacteria
Description: partial 16S ribosomal RNA
Rfam family: Bacterial small subunit ribosomal RNA
Source: RNAcentral